UGGUUUUUUCGAAAUGGUUUUGAUGUUGCUUAACCGCUAAGCUACAUCAAUGCGUUCGUUAUUAUUUAAUGUUUCGUCCGAAAGUUCUGUUAAAUUUGAAUUACUCGUGCUUAAUCCGAGAGGUGACCUAACGACUGAUGCCUAGAGUACAUUGAUUUUUUGGAGGAAACGCUUCUCCCGCCUGAUGAAUGAAAAUUGGAACAUCAGGAAGUGGCGAUCCCGAUUCCUCGAUUGAUGGCAAUGAAAGUGGAGUGUAUGGGUCUGGUAUGAACAGGGGCAAGACGAAGUGAAUCACGAGACAGCGGCUAGGCUGGCUAGAGAAUGUGUGCCGGAAAGAUGAGAAUACUCCGGCUUUGAAAGUUUUCGAAGCAGGCCAGGUGUAGAAGGACCUGGCUGUACUAGUUACUUCCAGUUGACUUUAAACAUCCAAAGGAAGUAAUGAAUGAAUUUUAUUAACUCGACUAUAAGCUUGAAAGUGGUGUAUAGGCUAGUAAAUAGUAAACAAAAAUAAUUCUACUUAUGAAAACAAGAUCCAGACUAUGCACAGCUUCUGUAUUUCCAAGCGAAACCAAAUUUCUGAGCUUGAUUUUCCAUAGCGAAGAAUGGCUCAUGACUGUCCAUUUAAAGGAAUAGUCUUACAAAAAUCUACUAAACAGAAGAUGCAGUUGACUGACCUUGUCUUGUCGGAGUCACGUUCCAGAUUCUCGUAGCAACACUUCAUAUUACAGGCUUUCAAGUGCAAAAAAAUAGAUGUAUAGAGACAGUGUUGUUGUCAGGUCACCCAAUACCUUAGAAAUCAGCAUCAGAUUUUCAAAGCCACAAACGUCUGCACUUACUGGCCAACUAACCGAUUAACCAGCUAGUUAACAGCAUAUUUGUAUGUGCAAAAAGUUGUAAUGAAAUUUGCUGCUGCUGCACCGGAGCCGCCAUGGUUGGCUUAUUUACCCAUUUUAAGAGGCAACAACGGCUGCCGCAGCCACAACAAAAGCAAAAGCAAUAAAGAUAGCCGCGGGAUAAAAAUUAAAAACAAAGCCAUUAUUAUGCAAUUAUCACCGAAGCGAGAGAGAAACGAAAAUAGAAAAAGAAAAUUUAUCGUAUAGCGAUUCGCAACAAAUUAAGAGAAGUGCAAAAUUUUGCAAAUAAUUUUAGAAAUUGUAAAGAAUAAGCAACAUAACUUCAGAAAAUAAUAAGAAAGAUUCAAAUUUUUAAAUUUAAA
This is a long non-coding RNA of Ceratitis capitata (Mediterranean fruit fly), 1216 nucleotides long. RefSeq lists it as uncharacterized. The record is from RefSeq and is a predicted model, not a curated record. The transcript has 3 exons. Lineage: Eukaryota; Metazoa; Arthropoda; Insecta; Diptera; Tephritidae.